RNAcentral lists this long non-coding RNA (1738 nucleotides) under Homo sapiens (human). RNAcentral describes it as "non-protein coding lnc-NAT1-3:19". The record is from RNAcentral. Lineage: Eukaryota; Metazoa; Chordata; Mammalia; Primates; Hominidae.
AGCAUUGUUUUAAUGCUUUGAUGAAGCUCAGCACGCUGCCGAAAUCUCGGCAGUAUUUUUUCUUUUCUUUUUGCAUGUGAGAGAAAGGACAACAAAUUGCAGUUUUAUCCAUUUGUAUUAUUUCUUUAGAAAACUCAACACUCUUUUUGUUGGAGGUGGGGAAAUGAGAAGGUGAUGUUUUGUUUUGCUUUUUUUCCUAUUUUUUUUUUUUAAAGGAGGAGAAGAUGACAGUGUUCUCCCUAAGGAUGAAGUUUGACUUUUGAAACAUAUCACAUGCUUAAAGCACAUUUGAGCUCCUGCAUGAACAGUAAGCUAGCAGAUGGUAGAAAUAUUCUUUAUUAAUUCAAAAAAUAUUUACUGCGGACCUACAAUGUGCCAAGCAUGUCUCCUGACACUGGGGAUAAGCAGUGAACAACAACAAAAAGACAAACUUCUUCCACCCUGAGGCGUAUGUUCUCGGUGAGAAAUGGGCAAUAAACAUAAUACCUAAGAAAAUUAUACGGGAUGUUAGUGACAAAUGCAGUGGAGGAAAAGGGAGGCCAGGGGCAUCAAGUGUGGAGAUCAGAAGUGGUAGAGUUACAAUUUUAAAUAAGAGGGACAGAUAGACAUGAUUAAGGAGGUGAAGUUUGAGCAGACAGUUGAGGGAGACCAGGAAGCUAGUUUUGUGUGUGCCCAAGUAAGAGUAUUCUAGGCAGAGACAGCAGCUGUUAAAAGGCUUUAAAUGGAGAAUGUGCCUGGCAUGUUCAAUUACAGCAGACGUGUGUGGGUCUGGCACAGAAAGAACAAGGGGAAAAGAAGAAAGAAGUAUUAAUAGACAAAGUAUUUAGUUAAGGAGAGCAGGGCAAAUUCUGUAAGGCAUUCAGAGCCAUUUCACUCCGGAAAAAAAAUGUGUAAUAUUGAAUAUACGUGUUAAAUGUUGAAUCUAUGGAAUUACCUUGGAGCUUAAAAUGAGUGUGCGAAGAAGAGGAUUCCCAUCUUUUAGUUGUUAUUACUAAAUCAAAUAGCUACUUGAUUGGAAGAUCAUUCAUCUUCAGUACUCUUGAGAGCGAUUUAAACAUGUCACCAAGCAUAUUUUUUUCCCUACUGGAGGAUGUUAAUUGGUGAUUAGGUAGUCUAGCAAAAUCAGAUUCUUUAUGGAAAAAAUUUGUCAAUUGACAUACUAUUCUUAGGCACCACUUUCGCAGAACUAUGCGUCUAACUUUCAAAGGUCUAUUAUAUAUUAUUAAUACUCUUUUCAGAUAAAAUAUAAAUCUAGUUCCCUAAAAUUAAACCAUUUCAUGCAUGUCUUUUUUUUCUUACACAUAUAUCUUUAUUUUGCCUACACCAUUCUUUAAUACUAGAAAUGUACAGAAAGUCAAGGCAAGGUGUGUGUAGGAGACUUUGCAGUGGUUUUUGGCAUACUGAUCUGUUCAUAGAAAAUGGUAUUUAAAUGUGCAAAUGCAUGAUUAUGUCCACGGAAAGGGUGGUUCAUACUGCACAAAAGCAUCAAGUUUAAGACUUGGAUAACCUGUUUCGUGUGCAAGAGUCGGGAUAUGUAAUCAGAUUGUUUAUGGAAUAGCUGAAGUUCUUGGCAAGCUGUGGACUUCCUCAUCUCCUACCUAACAUUCCUAGGUUCCUGAGGUGGAGCCUUGAUUUAAAAGGGUUGCAACUUAGCCACCCCACCCUAAAUGAAACCUAUCAUGUAUAACAUCACAUUACCUGGAACAGGUUUGACUUGAUUUAGUAAAACCGAAUAUAC